RNAcentral lists this long non-coding RNA (775 nucleotides) under Rattus norvegicus (Norway rat). RNAcentral's name for it is "long non-coding RNA NONRATT015243". Lineage: Eukaryota; Metazoa; Chordata; Mammalia; Rodentia; Muridae. The record is from RNAcentral.
CCCAGGAGCCUUCAUUACAAGAUGCCAACGUGAAACCCAAGGUGGAGUGCAGUGUGGUGACAGAGUUCACGGACCACAUCUGUGUGACGAUGGAUGCUGAGCUCAUCAUGUUUCUCCAUGAUCUAGUGUCAGCAUAUCUGAAAGAAAAGGAAAAGGGUGGGCUGCAUAGUUUUCCUUUCUUCUGUCAUAUACAGGAUUGGCAUGGGGAUAUCUUCAUGGCCUAGGGACAGGAUGCAUGCCUUUUCCUCUGGGCUGCAGUGUCAUGCAGAAGCACUUCAGGACAGUCUGACAGACUCCUGCGUUUCUGCUGCAUACACACACUCUUUACAUCUUUUUUACAUUUAUUUAUUUCGUUUUUUGGGGGGAUAGAGUCAUCGUGACACACAUAAAGAGGUCAGAAGAGAGCUUACAGGAAUCCAUUCUCUCCUUCAACUAUAUUGUUUCCAAAAGCUAAAUUCAGGAAAUCAGCCCUGGUGGCAAACACCUCUACCUGCUGAGUCAUCUGACUGGCCCACAAUGGUGCUCAUUUUAAUCACGAGGUGUUUCUUCAUAAAGAGGAAAGAGGUUUUUUGGUUUUUUUAAAAAUCAGGGACUGGAAAGGUAGCUCAAAAACAAUCUACAGCUACUGCUCCAGAGGACCAAACACUUUCUUCUAGCCCCUGACACACGCACGCACGCACGCACGCACGCACGCAGACAGAGAGCAUACAUGUACAUAUACACAUCAAUAAAAAAAAAGUUUAGAAGUUUCUAAAAAUACAAAAGUCUGCAGUUA